This 96-nucleotide transfer RNA is filed under the name Ipomoea nil (Japanese morning glory). It matches the Rfam family "tRNA". Rfam says of the family: Transfer RNA (tRNA) molecules are approximately 80 nucleotides in length. The record is from Rfam by way of RNAcentral. Lineage: Eukaryota; Viridiplantae; Streptophyta; Magnoliopsida; Solanales; Convolvulaceae.
CCGACUUUAGCUCAGUUGGUAGAGCGGAGGUCUGUAGUUGGAGUAAUAAUCUGAGCUGAAAUCCUUAGGUCGCUGGUUCAAAUCCAGCAGGUCGGA